RNAcentral lists this ribosomal RNA (1531 nucleotides) under Salmonella enterica. RNAcentral describes it as "bacterial SSU rRNA". It matches the Rfam family "Bacterial small subunit ribosomal RNA". The record is from RNAcentral. Lineage: Bacteria; Pseudomonadati; Pseudomonadota; Gammaproteobacteria; Enterobacterales; Enterobacteriaceae.
AGAGUUUGAUCAUGGCUCAGAUUGAACGCUGGCGGCAGGCCUAACACAUGCAAGUCGAACGGUAACAGGAAGCAGCUUGCUGCUUCGCUGACGAGUGGCGGACGGGUGAGUAAUGUCUGGGAAACUGCCUGAUGGAGGGGGAUAACUACUGGAAACGGUGGCUAAUACCGCAUAACGUCGCAAGACCAAAGAGGGGGACCUUCGGGCCUCUUGCCAUCAGAUGUGCCCAGAUGGGAUUAGCUAGUUGGUGAGGUAACGGCUCACCAAGGCGACGAUCCCUAGCUGGUCUGAGAGGAUGACCAGCCACACUGGAACUGAGACACGGUCCAGACUCCUACGGGAGGCAGCAGUGGGGAAUAUUGCACAAUGGGCGCAAGCCUGAUGCAGCCAUGCCGCGUGUAUGAAGAAGGCCUUCGGGUUGUAAAGUACUUUCAGCGGGGAGGAAGGUGUUGUGGUUAAUAACCACAGCAAUUGACGUUACCCGCAGAAGAAGCACCGGCUAACUCCGUGCCAGCAGCCGCGGUAAUACGGAGGGUGCAAGCGUUAAUCGGAAUUACUGGGCGUAAAGCGCACGCAGGCGGUCUGUCAAGUCGGAUGUGAAAUCCCCGGGCUCAACCUGGGAACUGCAUUCGAAACUGGCAGGCUUGAGUCUUGUAGAGGGGGGUAGAAUUCCAGGUGUAGCGGUGAAAUGCGUAGAGAUCUGGAGGAAUACCGGUGGCGAAGGCGGCCCCCUGGACAAAGACUGACGCUCAGGUGCGAAAGCGUGGGGAGCAAACAGGAUUAGAUACCCUGGUAGUCCACGCCGUAAACGAUGUCUUACUUGGAGGUUGUGCCCUUGAGGCGUGGCUUCCGGAGCUAACGCGUUAAGUAGACCGCCUGGGGAGUACGGCCGCAAGGUUAAAACUCAAAUGAAUUGACGGGGGCCCGCACAAGCGGUGGAGCAUGUGGUUUAAUUCGAUGCAACGCGAAGAACCUUACCUGGUCUUGACAUCCACAGAACUUUCCAGAGAUGGAUUGGUGCCUUCGGGAACUGUGAGACAGGUGCUGCAUGGCUGUCGUCAGCUCGUGUUGUGAAAUGUUGGGUUAAGUCCCGCAACGAGCGCAACCCUUAUCCUUUGUUGCCAGCGGUCCGGCCGGGAACUCAAAGGAGACUGCCAGUGAUAAACUGGAGGAAGGUGGGGAUGACGUCAAGUCAUCAUGGCCCUUACGACCAGGGCUACACACGUGCUACAAUGGCGCAUACAAAGAGAAGCGACCUCGCGAGAGCAAGCGGACCUCAUAAAGUGCGUCGUAGUCCGGAUUGGAGUCUGCAACUCGACUCCAUGAAGUCGGAAUCGCUAGUAAUCGUGGAUCAGAAUGCCACGGUGAAUACGUUCCCGGGCCUUGUACACACCGCCCGUCACACCAUGGGAGUGGGUUGCAAAAGAAGUAGGUAGCUUAACCUUCGGGAGGGCGCUUACCACUUUGUGAUUCAUGACUGGGGUGAAGUCGUAACAAGGUAACCGUAGGGGAACCUGCGGUUGGAUCACCU